UAAACCAUACAAUCACUUUGGAUUGUAGACUUAGGCUUCGUUUGGAAUUGCGGGAAGAUUGUGUUAUGUGCGGUGAGAAACGACGAUGAAAAAAUAUUCUGUUUGUUUCCGUACGUAAUAUUACGUUCCACAUAUUGCGGUUAGUUUAUUACGAUAUAUUUUUUGCGGUCCCAUCGAAGAAUGCAGAAGCAUAUCCCGAUAUGCUUUUUCUCAAUUUCAUUCUAUGUAAUAGCGUUAGUUUGACCUCAAUACCAAACGUUAGG
RNAcentral lists this long non-coding RNA (263 nucleotides) under Ananas comosus (pineapple). Its description in RNAcentral is "long non-coding RNA (ACOM_LNC001274)". The record is from RNAcentral. Lineage: Eukaryota; Viridiplantae; Streptophyta; Magnoliopsida; Poales; Bromeliaceae.